GACGAACGCUGGCGGCGUGCCUAAUACAUGCAAGUAGAACGCUGAAGAGAGGAGCUUGCUCUUCUUGGAUGAGUUGCGAACGGGUGAGUAACGCGUAGGUAACCUGCCUUGUAGCGGGGGAUAACUAUUGGAAACGAUAGCUAAUACCGCAUAACAAUGGAUGACACAUGUCAUUUAUUUGAAAAGGGUAAUUGCUCCACUACAAGAUGGACCUGCGUUGUAUUAGCUAGUAGGUGAGGUAAUGGCUCACCUAGGCGACGAUACAUAGCCGACCUGAGAGGGUGAUCGGCCACACUGGGACUGAGACACGGCCCAGACUCCUACGGGAGGCAGCAGUAGGGAAUCUUCGGCAAUGGGGGCAACCCUGACCGAGCAACGCCGCGUGAGUGAAGAAGGUUUUCGGAUCGUAAAGCUCUGUUGUAAGUCAAGAACGGGUGUGAGAGUGGAAAGUUCACACUGUGACGGUAGCUUACCAGAAAGGGACGGCUAACUACGUG
This 497-nucleotide ribosomal RNA is filed under the name uncultured bacterium. RNAcentral's name for it is "partial 16S ribosomal RNA". It matches the Rfam family "Bacterial small subunit ribosomal RNA", at positions 28 to 507 of the family's 1533-position model. The record is from RNAcentral.